ACACCAUCUUUCAUUCCCACCAUUCUUUGUGAAGAGGAAUCCAAAUGUUCUUUGGCCUGAUCGAGUUCUUAUGGGUGCCUUGAGCCAUCCUAGGAGGCAUCCCAAGUAACAACAUUAAGAACGUAUAAAUGUUUGAACUGUGCAGACUUCUUGUUGUGAGAAAAAAAGCCUGCAGCCAAUGAGAUAGAAAUGGAGAGAAGGGCAAUAGCAGCUUGCACAUGUCAAGGAUCUGCAGCGCAUGAA
Molecule: long non-coding RNA, 243 nt
Organism: Mya arenaria
Lineage: Eukaryota; Metazoa; Mollusca; Bivalvia; Myida; Myidae
Exons: 3
Source: RefSeq, a predicted model, not a curated record